GAGACAGAAGUAAAGAGGAUGAGGAUGUCUAGGCCCUUCUAGAGAGAUCCAUCAAUAAUGUGAAGUAACCAGGACUUUGCCCCAGGAUCCUAACUUUGAGGAAAACAUCCUUCCUCCCACAGUAGUUGAGCCUCCCUGAGCUAUAGAAGAAGCAGGGAUUAUAACACACACUGUGUUGAUGAGGAGAAAAUGAAACAGCUGGGACAAGAUGAAACUGUGGACUCCAGGGAAAAUAAAAUCC
Molecule: long non-coding RNA, 241 nt
Filed under: Phascolarctos cinereus (koala)
Lineage: Eukaryota; Metazoa; Chordata; Mammalia; Diprotodontia; Phascolarctidae
Description: lncRNA (ENSPCIG00000029958.2)
Source: RNAcentral